Long non-coding RNA from Siniperca chuatsi (mandarin fish), 2082 nucleotides. RefSeq lists it as uncharacterized. The record is from RefSeq and is a predicted model, not a curated record. The transcript is spliced from 2 exons. Lineage: Eukaryota; Metazoa; Chordata; Actinopteri; Centrarchiformes; Sinipercidae.
AUGUGUGAUGUGGCGUGUGUCAUGCAGAGGGAUGGUGCAGAGCCCGAGCCUGACCCAGAGGACACCAGUGUCCUGACGGGAAUAAAUGGAGAUCUUCAGUUGAAUGGGGAGCUUUGUGCUCGCUUUCUUUCGACUCUUGACUCUUCGGACUGACUCAUAAGACCUCAAAUGCACAUAUGACGUCCUGCAGAAGAUUUUCCUCGAUCUGGAUGGACAGAGGAUGUCGUCAAAGGGACAACUGCUGAAAACAAGCUGCUGGUCUACAUCUGUUUCCAGUGCAGAGACUUGCUCGACAGGUCUGCUGAGAAUGAUGGAUGACAUGGCCUCAUUGGAAAUGAUUCUUGUACCUGAAUGAUGGAAAUAUCUGAGGAGGGGCUAAAGAAGAAAGCCUGGCCUUCUCUCUCUGAUUGCUACGGGAAGGACCAAAGACAGACAUGUGAAUCUUAUAUAAGAAAAAGUGUAAACAUUGUACCUUUUUUACCAGGUGAAAAGCGAUACAGAAUUGUUUGUUUCCAUCUCAAUGGUUUAGAAAUGCCAGAUUAUUUUAUUAUUUCUGGCCAAUUUCCUGGUCUCCAGGUAGCACUUUAUUGUUUUAUCCCAUCCUAAACUACUCUCAGAGCACUUUUGAUUCACUUUUUCUUCUGAUGUCAAGUGGGCCUGACCUCAGAAAAUCUCAACAUCAGUGAAUUAGCUCUUGCUAAUGGGAUAUAUUGCACUCACAUAACAUGUUUUACAUGACUCAGCUUUUAUGCAAACUUUCUGCUUACUAAAAGAGUUAGUGUGCAUCGGUGGGCAUGUUUACUGUACCAUCCUCCAAACAGAAGAUAAAGCUGCUAAAAUAAAACAAAAAAGCUGGAUGCAAGCAGUGAAAUAUUCCUGGAUUGUUUUCACACUGGCUGAGCUCAGGCUGUGGAACUUGUUAAGCAGUGAUUAUUGUAGAAUCCUAUUUACUCUUCAUUAGAUGCAUAAACUUUGUGAUUACGUGACAUGGUGUAUGAGUGCAUGCAAAUUGCUUUUUGGCCCGGGUGUUAUAAACAGUGUUGCUACAGUACAUCUAUGCUACACAAGGGUGGCCGCUUGACAGGAAGUAAAUUCCAGUGGCUUAAGGGUGAUGAGAAGCCCUGAAUAUGAAGGAGGCUUCAUCUGUCUCUUUGGACGUGUUUGCUGAGCUGGUGGUUUCUACCUUAAUAACUCAACCCCCAUGUACAGAGAACUGGACCUCCCUGACAGCGAUCCACUACAUCCACGCCACUGAAAGCCAAAGAGUGAGCUGAGACAGAGGGGUGGGGGGGGCAGAGAUGAGAGAAAUCAUUCAGUGGUAAAAACCUUAGAAUCACUUAAGUGAAUUGGCUACUUGUCCAAUGAAUUGGCUUUUCAAAGCUGGGUCGGAUUGUCGAGCAGACAGCAGUGGCGAAGAAACUAUGGUAACAUUGACGAAGCAAGUGUAGGCGCACUAAAUUACACAAAGUUGUCUGUAGGUCAAGAAGAAUGACCUGUACCCAUUGAAACAGCAGAAGACAAUAUUCAUAAUAUCCAACAUGAAAGUACCAUAAGCAUAACAACAUUAGAAGCCUUAAGCCCUGAUAGCUGCACCAAGAGGCUGCAGUGUUUAUUAAUUCAUGUGAGCUUUGUCCUCGUGUUGCUACAGGAAAUGUUAUGGUUUAUGGUUUGUAGUUUUGUAUUUCUUGUUUUAUUUUUUAUUGUGCCUCACGUGUUUUAUGUAGUUCUACUUCCUGUCUUUGUUUGCUUUUCCCACCAGUUUUGAUUGUUUUCCCUGCCCUGAAUGGUUUCACCUGUGUGUCGUUUUCUCCCCUCACCUGAGUGUAUUUAAGUCUGUGUGCUUCCUUUGUUCUGUGCCAGUUUGUCUUUGCCACAUGUGUCAAGCAUUCCAGCCUUUCCUAGUGUUUUGUUGUCUUGGUGUUUGGAUCUUUGCUUUGUUUCUUGGACCUUGCCUGUUUUGGAUUUUGCCUGUUCCCCGUAGUAUUUGUUUGCCUGAUUUGGACUGCUUCCCUGGUUUGGACCACUGCUUGCCUGUCAGUGUAAGCCUUUUUGUUCUUAAUAAAUGAUUGAAACUGCACCAGC